GAUGAACGCUGGCGGCGUGCCUAAUACAUGCAAGUAGAACGCUGAAGGAAGGAGCUUGCUCUUUCCGGAUGAGUUGCGAACGGGUGAGUAACGCGUAGGUAACCUGCCUGGUAGCGGGGGAUAACUAUUGGAAACGAUAGCUAGUACCGCAUAACAGUAGAUGUUGCAUGAUAUCUACUUAAAAGGUGCAAUUGCACCACUACCAGAUGGACCUGCGUUGUAUUAGCUAGUUGGUGAGGUAACGGCUCACCAAGGCGACAAUACAUAGCCGACCUGAGAGGGUGAUCGGCCACACUGGGACUGAGACACGGCCCAGACUCCUACGGGAGGCAGCAGUAGGGAAUCUUCGGCAAUAGACGGAAGUCUGACCGAGCAACGCCGCGUGAGUGAAGAAGGUUUUCGGAUCGUAAAGCUCUGUUGUAAGAGAAGAACGAGUGUGAGAGUGGAAAGUUCACACUGUGACGGUAUCUUACCAGAAAGGGACGGCUAACUACGUG
This 497-nucleotide ribosomal RNA is filed under the name uncultured bacterium. RNAcentral describes it as "partial 16S ribosomal RNA". It matches the Rfam family "Bacterial small subunit ribosomal RNA", at positions 28 to 507 of the family's 1533-position model. The record is from RNAcentral.